Molecule: transfer RNA, 68 nt
Filed under: Marmota monax (woodchuck)
Lineage: Eukaryota; Metazoa; Chordata; Mammalia; Rodentia; Sciuridae
Description: tRNA.Ala
Source: RNAcentral
GGACUGUGGCUCAGUGGUAGCACACUUGCCUUGCAUGUAUGAGGCACUGGGUUUGAUUCUCAGCACCA